UCUGCACAUUGCACUCCACUGGC
Molecule: microRNA, 23 nt
Filed under: Callithrix jacchus (white-tufted-ear marmoset)
Lineage: Eukaryota; Metazoa; Chordata; Mammalia; Primates; Cebidae
Description: cja-miR-9964
Source: miRBase by way of RNAcentral